UGAGCCAAGUCCACGGUCACUAUGGGA
RNAcentral lists this non-coding RNA (27 nucleotides) under Mus musculus (house mouse). Lineage: Eukaryota; Metazoa; Chordata; Mammalia; Rodentia; Muridae. The record is from RNAcentral.